CAGUCGCCACGGGAAUACAGAGGGUGCGAGCGUUAAUCGGAUUUACUGGGCGUAAAGCGUGCGUAGGCGGCUUCUUAAGUCGGAUGUGAAAUCCCUGAGCUUAACUUAGGAAUUGCAUUCGAUACUGGGAAGCUAGAGUAUGGGAGAGGAUGGUAGAAUUCCGGGUGUAGCGGUGAAAUGCGUAGAGAUCUGGAGGAAUACCGAUGGCGAAGGCAGCCAUCUGGCCUAAUACUGACGCUGAGGUACGAAAGCAUGGGGAGCAAACAGGAUUAGAUACUCGAGUAGUCCCUGUCUCUUAUAA
This 301-nucleotide ribosomal RNA is filed under the name uncultured bacterium. RNAcentral describes it as "partial 16S ribosomal RNA". It matches the Rfam family "Bacterial small subunit ribosomal RNA", at positions 509 to 809 of the family's 1533-position model. The record is from RNAcentral.